AGGCCUAACACAUGCAAGUCGAGCGCGCCUUCGGGUGAGCGGCGGACGGGUUAGUAACGCGUGGGAACGUGCCCUUCUCUACGGAAUAGCCUCUGGAAACGGAGAGUAAUACCGUAUACGCCCUUUGGGGGAAAGAUUUAUCGGAGAAGGAUCGGCCCGCGUUAGAUUAGGUAGUUGGUGGGGUAACGGCCUACCAAGCCUACGAUCUAUAGCUGGUUUUAGAGGAUGAUCAGCAACACUGGGACUGAGACACGGCCCAGACUCCUACGGGAGGCAGCAGUGGGGAAUCUUAGACAAUGGGGGCAACCCUGAUCUAGCCAUGCCGCGUGAGUGAUGAAGGCCUUAGGGUCGUAAAGCUCUUUCGCCUGUGAUGAUAAUGACAGUAGCAGGUAAAGAAACCCCGGCUAACUCCGUGCCAGCAGCCGCGGUAAUACGGAGGGGGUUAGCGUUGUUCGGAAUUACUGGGCGUAAAGCGCGCGUAGGCGGAUUAGAAAGUUGGGGGUGAAAUCCCGGGGCUCAACCCCGGAACUGCCUCCAAAACUGCUAGUCUAGAGUUCGAGAGAGGUGAGUGGAAUUCCGAGUGUAGAGGUGAAAUUCGUAGAUAUUCGGAGGAACACCAGUGGCGAAGGCGGCUCACUGGCUCGAUACUGACGCUGAGGUGCGAAAGUGUGGGGAGCAAACAGGAUUAGAUACCCUGGUAGUCCACACCGUAAACGAUGAAUGCCAGUCGUCG
RNAcentral lists this ribosomal RNA (733 nucleotides) under uncultured Ruegeria sp. Its description in RNAcentral is "bacterial SSU rRNA". It matches the Rfam family "Bacterial small subunit ribosomal RNA", at positions 44 to 825 of the family's 1533-position model. Lineage: Bacteria; Pseudomonadati; Pseudomonadota; Alphaproteobacteria; Rhodobacterales; Roseobacteraceae. The record is from RNAcentral.